This is a non-coding RNA of Bos taurus (domestic cattle), 185 nucleotides long. Lineage: Eukaryota; Metazoa; Chordata; Mammalia; Artiodactyla; Bovidae. The record is from Rfam.
GGUGAGGGCAAUCUAGUCAACAUCUGUCACUCCAUUGCUUAUUAGGAUUAUUUUAGCUGAUGUGUCUGACUGGGCAGGUGUCCCCUCUCUCCCUCAGUGCUCCAUGUGCAUCCCUCUUGAAGCUUCACACUCUGUUGAAGAGGACUCUCAUCCCAGGUAGAGAGGGGGACGGGAAACUGGGCCAA